RNAcentral lists this ribosomal RNA (253 nucleotides) under uncultured bacterium. RNAcentral's name for it is "partial 16S ribosomal RNA". It matches the Rfam family "Bacterial small subunit ribosomal RNA", at positions 524 to 776 of the family's 1533-position model. The record is from RNAcentral.
UACGAAGGACCCGAGCGUUAUCCGGAUUUAUUGGGUUUAAAGGGUGCGUAGGCGGAUUAAUAAGUCAGUGGUGAAAGCCUGAUGCUUAACAUCAGAAUUGCCAUUGAUACUGUUAGUCUUGAGUACGGUUGAGGUGGGCGGAAUGUGUCAUGUAGCGGUGAAAUGCUUAGAUAUGACACAGAACACCAAUUGCGAAGGCAGCUCGCUAAACCGUAACUGACGCUGAGGCACGAAAGCGUGGGGAGCAAACAGG